GACAGAGGGUGCAAGCGUUGUUCGGAAUUAUUGGGCGUAAAGCGCGUGUAGGCGGUCUGAUUAGUCUGAUGUGAAAGCCCUGGGCUCAACCCAGGAAGUGCAUUGGAUACUGUCAGACUUGAAUACGGGAGAGGGUAGUGGAAUUCCUAGUGUAGGAGUGAAAUCCGUAGAUAUUAGGAGGAACACCAGUGGCGAAGGCGACUGUCUGGACGACACCUGACGCUGAGGCGCGAAAGCCAGGGGAGCAAACGGG
RNAcentral lists this ribosomal RNA (253 nucleotides) under uncultured bacterium. Its description in RNAcentral is "partial 16S ribosomal RNA". It matches the Rfam family "Bacterial small subunit ribosomal RNA", at positions 524 to 776 of the family's 1533-position model. The record is from RNAcentral.